Molecule: transfer RNA, 69 nt
Filed under: Sphaerodactylus townsendi
Lineage: Eukaryota; Metazoa; Chordata; Lepidosauria; Squamata; Sphaerodactylidae
Description: tRNA-Ala
Source: RNAcentral
UCAGUGGCUCAGUGGAAGAGAAUCAGCUUUGCAAGCAAAAGCUCAUAGGUUCAAUCCCUGGCUUCUCAA